GAAAGCAAAAUGGAUCUGGAGUGGCCUAUGAAAUCUGGCAAAUCUUCACCAAUACUCUAUUUCCAUUUCCUGCCUGGAAACAGCUACAUGAAGAAAUAUUUUUGACGUAAGUUUAAUUGAAUCUGUGAGUGUGGAACUGCGGAUAUGGAGGACUGACUGGAUUUAAUAUGCAAACAAGGGGUAUGUGAUCUGCAGCUGUUUUGCUCACUUACGUUCUUUCCUAGCCCAUGUAGAUAUGAUAGUUUGCGACUAGUUUCUUAGACUCUUAAAGAAAAGCAUCCGGGCAAAUAUUUGGAUUUAUUUUAGUGGUUGAAGCAUGUGAGUGAACAAGCUUGGAAACCACAGUCUUUGUAACCCAAGGAGAUCUGGGAGUUCAUCACAUCCAAACCUUCAUUUUAACAAUAAAGCAUCUGAAGCUUCCCUGACAUCCUAGGAAAAAUGAUCUGGUCAGAAGCACAGGCCCACUCCAGGGGUCUUGAGAAAAUGAGACCAAUCGGUGAUAAACAAUUCCCCUGAAAUAGCUGGGCAACUUGUAGGAACCUGUCAAACUUCUUCCUCCAGCAUAGUUCAAAUUGUAAUUGGUGGUACCUAGAACAGUUUCCAUUUUUGUGAAAAAUGGCAUCUGAUCAAUUUCCUCACUUCCAGUAGAGGCAGCCUACUAUGGCUGCAUUUCUAUUGGUCAGUUCUCAUUGGCCCACAUCUGCUUUCUUUUCCUGUGGAAAUAAAACUUACGGUCAGGAGAAAGGACAUAUUUGGUAAUGUUACGCUCCUCAGCUUCCUGCUCCAGCUGUGUCAGCUGCAAAAUGUCAAGGGAAAAAAUAUCCCUCCAACUUGGAACGAAUUUCAGACAGACCCUGAUGCCUGCAAAUUUGUCAGAGGGAGCCAAGUCCAGAAAAGCAGAACAUGAAGAAGGUUCAUUAUUCAACUUCAAGAGACGUUCAAAUAAUCAGACACUCUGGUAUUUAUGAUUUUCCCCGUUUCAGGUGGUCUGUAGUUCACAACAUUCCCCUCCCUUUACCGCUGAUUCUGAGCUUCCUUUUAAAUUAAGCCUCAACAGUUAUAAAAAGACUCUCACAUUACUUGUAAGCCGCAAGCACUACGAGGAGACACUCUGUUCACACAAGGCUGUUUGGGACUGGGGAAGGGCAGCUCUUUUUGAUUAUUAGUCUGAGGAGGGCAGGCCAGGAAAUCAGGCUCACUUCACCUUGACCGCACCACCAGAGUCCUCAUGUAGCUCCCAAGUCUGUGCCAAGGCCUCCUGCCACUCACAGCACCAAAGGCAACGAUCUUUACUAAAAAGCACUUAUUUCCGUUGGCUUUCUUAUUCAUUUAGGCAUUUCUUUUCCCGGGGUGCAGUGUGGGGUGGAAUAGCCAGUUUAUCCUGACUUCCACUUUGUGAAUAUUCCACCAGUCCUGCUUAUAAAGUUGAGUUUGGGGGAACUUCAUCUUUCUCCUGGCAUUCAGCACAUUUUCUGUCUCCUUUAGAACUGUUGCCACAUGCUGGCAAAAAGAUAAGGAAACUGAAUUUGUAAUCCAAACCUUGUUAAAUUGCUGCAUACACAUUUUCCCUUCUACUUCUUGCUCUCUAUUUCUAAAUGCCAUGCUAUUUGUUUGUACUCGGUCACCUUAAAUCCUUAUUUGGGUUCUCCAACAGGCACGAAGGCAUCCAAAUAUCAAUUUUAGUAACUGGUGGAAGUGCCCACAUAAGAAAUGGGAUGUUCAGUCUUAACAUGUGGUCUCUAUGAAUAAGGGUCUUCAUUUUUUCUUUUCCUAAACUGUCCAGCUCCUCUAUGCUGGUUUUGCUCCUCAACAGUCUAAGGUUUGUGCUACUUCCAUGGUGAUCAUCUGUUAGGUCAUAAACAUUAGAUUGUGGCAUCACUGAAUGAGUCAGUUGGGAGGAAGCUGGGCUGGAAAUACAGCUGAGAGCCACUGUUGACAGAUGGAUGCCUUCUUAAUCACAGGCUCUGUGGGUAAAGGGAAAGCCUUGCCUGGGCAGCCCCUCCCACCUCCACCCACCCCCUCCAUUGAUUCACAAACCUGGAAUACUCUGGAGGAGGCUGGGAAAGUCCAUCCCCAGGGAAUAUCACUUUUUUCCUCUUCCAUGCCUCUCACAGGACACCCACAAGACCAGGAGGCAGAACGUGAACAGGGAGGUCUUUCUUAUUACUACUUUUUGAGUGUCAGCAAGUGUGUUUUUAAAUUUCAUUACACCUGUUUUCAUGCAUUCAGUGAAAUCACUUCUUAUCCUUGGAAGAAAACGACAAGAAAUGACAGCCACGGAAUCUUCCUCUGGAUAUGGGAACAGAAAUAGCUCUCAGAAUAAAUAGUGGCCACACACAGCAUGAAAAUGUUGAUGAGGAGGAUGAUCCAAGAUGGCCAAAUACCAACAGCUCAGGAGUGCAGUUCCCAGCAAGAAUGCAGAGGGGACAUGGAUGAAUCUGGAGAACAUCAUUCUCAGCAAACUGACACAAGAACAGAAAAUCAGACGUUGCAUGUUCUUACUCAAAGGAAGCUUACUUCAGGCAAGAAAUCCCUCAGAGUCCUGAAGAUACAGCUUUUGGAACUUAGAUGAAGAAAGAAGACUCAAGGUAUACAAGAAUGGACAGUACAGAGUGCUCUGCUAGAUUCUCCUUUCAGGAAGGAAGGACAAAUUCACUCAACUUCUGGAAGCAUUGCUGGUUGAGCUCUCAGCCAUCAGACCUUUUUAGAAGUUACCCUCUUCUGAAACGAGGCACAUUGCCCAAGAUCUUUCCUCCUCCAGAAGGCAAGCUGCACCUGAAGACUGGUUGAUGUAGGACACAGACUUCGUUUAAAUCAGUAUUAACAUCAAACACAUCACCAUCAAGAAAGCUGUAAUUUUGAUUGUUUGUCUAACAGUUGGGCCACGUUUUCCUGUUUUUCAUUUCUCUUCUGAUACGUCAGUCUAUGCCAGGGGAGAAACUGGCUGAAGUUAAGGGCUAAUGUCAAGUACUAACUGAACAACAAAUGGAUGGCCUCAAUAAUGUUAUAACCUGGUUGAAAUUAUUACUCAGUUUUUUUUUUGGCAGACCUGAGAUCUAUGUAUCUCCAUUUAACACGUGAAUGUAGACCAUUUCCUUAAAAGCAAAUUCCUAUAAAAAUAUAUAUCAGAAAUGAAUAGGUAUAAUUAAUAUAACUUUUUAAAUGCUUAAUAAAAUUCACCAGUAUACUAUCAUUUUCGUUGAGAGAAGGUUCUUAAUCAUGAAUUUUAUUUACUUAAUGACAUUAUUUAAUUUUUCUUUUCUUUUUGUUAAUUUGAUUUGUUAUGGCUUCUCAAAAAUUUGUCCUUUUCAUCUAAUUUGUUCAAUUUAUUUUCAUGGAAUUGGUCACAUACUUAAUGCUUCAUUCCUUUUUAUAUAACCAAAUUUCCAUCUGGUAACAUUUACUGUGAGCCAAAAGAGCUUCCUGUAUCAUUUCCUGUAGUACAUAUCUGCUGAUUAACACUUUUCUAGGUUGACAAAUUGUAUAGUUGUCUUUCAUUUAGUUUAAAAAUGUUGUUCCAUUGUCGUCUGAUUUUCAUUGUUUCUGAUGAGAGGUCAGCCUUCUUUCUUACUAUUGGUCCCCUGCAUUUAAUAUGUAAUGUCUUUUUUUCCCUUGCUUUUCAAAUGUUCUAUUUAAUUCUGAUUUUCAGUAAUUUACUAUAAUGUCUGUUGUUUGGUAUCUGCUUAGAUUCCUGUAAUUAUG
Callithrix jacchus (white-tufted-ear marmoset) is the source of this 3702-nucleotide long non-coding RNA. RefSeq lists it as uncharacterized. The record is from RefSeq and is a predicted model, not a curated record. NCBI's taxonomy places the organism in Eukaryota, Metazoa, Chordata, Mammalia, Primates, Cebidae.